CCUUAAAAAAAAAACCAACAACAAAGUUUCAUUUAAGAUACAUUUAGGCGCCUUUGAAGCUUGGAUUUUGGAAUGUUUCAGUAGUGGCCAGAAAUCUGCUGUUGGAAUCUUCUAGUCUUCCAGGUUUAAUUUGAAAUGUUUUUAGUUUUGUUUUGGAUUUUUGUGUGGUAUUUUAUUUCCUUUAUAUCAGUGCCCUUUUGCCAUGCUGUUUUGGGGUGGCUGCCUAACUCUAGUGAAAAUUCUUUCUAUAUUAACGGAAGUUUGGUGUUUUAAAUUCCUUAAUGUUUUGCAUUUUUUAAAAUUGUUUUUAAAGAAAUAUUCUAACUGCUUGCACUGUUACUGUUCUUUGCCAGCCUUUUCAGGAGCCAAAAAAACAAAAACAAACAAACAAAAAAAUACCCAGAGAAAAAACUUUCCUUCUUCCCCCUUCCUGAUGAUGAGUGAGAAGUAUUGAGAACUUUCGGGGUCAGUGCCCUUCUAAACUCCCCUUCCCCCAAUAAUGCAGCUGUAUAAUGAAUGGUAAAUGCAGCGGUUUGGAUUCAGGCACAGCCCCAGCCUGCUUGCAGGUGGCGUAUGUGUUCGUGUUUUAAUGUAUUCAGAGCCAUUGAGCAAUAAGCAGUCCAGAACAUUGAAAACUCAUGCAGCAGAGAGAUAAACUGGUAGGUGGCAGCAGAAGAAGGAAUUCUUCAGAUUGACCGCUACUGAAAGAAUCUACAUAGAAGAGAUAGAGCAUAACAUACCAAGUGAAGGAAAGGGGGCAAAAAAUGGAAACAGGACUAAAAUGUUUGGAUUUUGACUCUAAAUGGUUCUUUUGAAGUAACCAGUGAUCCUUUUUGCUUAUUACUUCAUUCACAGAAUGGACGAAGAUAGAUUUGACUGUAUGUUUUUUGAAAUGGAGUAUAGAAAUACCCAGAACAAGGAAGCAGUAGCUCUAACCUGUUUGAUUCGAUGUGUUUUCUAAAAUAAAAACACCAGAACUGGGAA
Lontra canadensis (Northern American river otter) is the source of this 984-nucleotide long non-coding RNA. RefSeq lists it as uncharacterized. Lineage: Eukaryota; Metazoa; Chordata; Mammalia; Carnivora; Mustelidae. The record is from RefSeq and is a predicted model, not a curated record. The transcript has 4 exons.